Tribolium castaneum (red flour beetle) is the source of this 688-nucleotide long non-coding RNA. RefSeq lists it as uncharacterized. The record is from RefSeq and is a predicted model, not a curated record. Lineage: Eukaryota; Metazoa; Arthropoda; Insecta; Coleoptera; Tenebrionidae. The transcript has 2 exons.
CUCUCUCUCUCUCGACUUCAUUACGUUGGACAUAAUGCAUCUCUUUCUCAAAGAAAUCGUAUGUCGCUACUCAUUAUUCCGAUCUCCGAAUUAUACCGAACACUUCCGAUUACAUUAUUUACAUUUCCGAAGGUACAACCUGUGGUACAAACUUGUGGCGGGUGGAAGUGAAAACGAAUUAGCUGUUUAAUGCAUAAUUUAAAAUGUUUAACUCUUUAACUAUCGCACCACUCAAACUCAUCACCCGGUCCGAUCGUGGCUCUCGCGCCGCUUUGUUUUCCCACCAAAUCCCUUAUCAACGACUGGCUCAUUUUUAGUCGUAUAAAUAGGUAUAAACUGUUUCGGAGUUCUCUAAUGGAAUAAAAGUUGAUUUACAGGUAAUCUAAAUAAUAUAAUUAUUUUAACAGUCAAAAAAGCUGCCCUUGACGUAACCUCAAACAAGGAACUGGAAAUGAAUUUCACAUAAAACUAUGAUUCAACAUAGUUCACCAACAAAAUAAAAGAAAAUAGUACCAUAGGACUGAGAAUUUUACAACAGUGUGACGAAGGCUUAUUGUGGCUGUUUUUCAAUUCAAAGUUCGACCCCCGACUUUGAUAUCAUACUACAACGAUUGAAUACUACAACGAUUGAAGAUGUAUCGAAGAUUACUUUUAACGAUUUUUUUAAUAAAAUUUUAAAUUUUUGAAA